AGAGUUUGAUCCUGGCUCAGGACGAACGCUGGCGGCGCGCCUAACACAUGCAAGUCGAACGGAGAAUAAUUUAUUAUUCUUAGUGGCGGACGGGUGAGUAACGCGUGAGCAACCUGCCCUUUUGAGGGGGAUAACGUUUGGAAACGAACGCUAAUACCGCAUGAAACAGCAGUGGGGAAUCCCACAACUGUCAAAGGAGAAAUCCGCAAAAGGAUGGGCUCGCGUCUGAUUAGAUAGUUGGUGAGGUAAUGGCCCACCAAGUCUGCGAUCAGUAGCCGGACUGAGAGGUUGAACGGCCACAUUGGGACUGAGACACGGCCCAGACUCCUACGGGAGGCAGCAGUGGGGGAUAUUGCACAAUGGAGGAAACUCUGAUGCAGCGACGUCGCGUGAGGGAAGAAGGUCUUCGGAUUGUAAACCUUUGUCUUCGGGGAAGAAACAAAUGACGGUACCCGAGGAGGAAGCCACGGCUAACUACGUGCCAGCAGCCGCGGUAAUACGUAGGUGGCAAGCGUUGUCCGGAAUUAUUGGGUGUAAAGGGUGCGUAGGCGGGAAUAUAAGUCGGAUGUGAAAUGCCCGGGCUCAACUCGGGAGCUGCAUUCGAAACUAUAUUUCUUGAGUGAAGUAGAGGCAAGCGGAAUUCCUAGUGUAGCGGUGAAAUGCGUAGAUAUUAGGAGGAACACCAGUGGCGAAUGCGGCUUGCUGGGCUUUUACUGACGCUGAGGCACG
This 729-nucleotide ribosomal RNA is filed under the name uncultured bacterium. Its description in RNAcentral is "bacterial SSU rRNA". It matches the Rfam family "Bacterial small subunit ribosomal RNA", at positions 8 to 755 of the family's 1533-position model. The record is from RNAcentral.